ACGCCAGUAGCUCAGUGGAAGAGCAGCGGACUGAUAACCGCGUGUCGCAGGUUCGAUUCCUGUCUGGCGUA
Molecule: transfer RNA, 71 nt
Filed under: Chloroflexota bacterium
Lineage: Bacteria; Bacillati; Chloroflexota
Description: Chloroflexi bacterium tRNA-OTHER
Rfam family: tRNA
About the family: Transfer RNA (tRNA) molecules are approximately 80 nucleotides in length. Their secondary structure includes four short double-helical elements and three loops (D, anti-codon, and T loops).
Source: RNAcentral